This is a non-coding RNA of Heterocephalus glaber (naked mole-rat), 114 nucleotides long. NCBI's taxonomy places the organism in Eukaryota, Metazoa, Chordata, Mammalia, Rodentia, Bathyergidae. The record is from Rfam.
AUCUACGGCCAUACCACCCUGAACGCGCGCGAUCUCGUCUGAUCUCAGAAGCUGAGCAGGGUCGGGCCUGGUUAGUACUUGGAUGGGAGAGAGAGUGAGAGAGAGAGAAAGAAA